RNAcentral lists this ribosomal RNA (472 nucleotides) under uncultured bacterium. Its description in RNAcentral is "bacterial SSU rRNA". It matches the Rfam family "Bacterial small subunit ribosomal RNA", at positions 335 to 799 of the family's 1533-position model. The record is from RNAcentral.
ACUCCUACGGGAGGCAGCAGUGGGGAAUAUUGCACAAUGGGGGAAACCCUGAUGCAGCCAUGCCGCGUGUGUGAAGAAGGCCUUCGGGUUGUAAAGCACUUCAGUAGGGAGGAAGGUAGUGUAGUUAACACCUGCAUUAUUUGACGUUACCUACAGAAGAAGCACCGGCUAACUCCGUGCCAGCAGCCGCGGUAAUACGGAGGGUGCGAGCGUUAAUCGGAAUUACUGGGCGUAAAGCGCAUGCAGGCGGCCUGUUAAGUCAGAUGUGAAAGCCCGGGGCUUAACCUCGGAAUUGCAUUUGAAACUGGCAGGCUAGAGUCUUGUAGAGGGGGGUAGAAUUUCAGGUGUAGCGGUGAAAUGCGUAGAGAUCUGAAGGAAUACCAGUGGCGAAGGCGGCCCCCUGGACAAAGACUGACGCUCAGAUGCGAAAGCGUGGGGAGCAAACAGGAUUAGAUACCCUGGUAGGAUAGCG